RNAcentral lists this ribosomal RNA (460 nucleotides) under uncultured bacterium. RNAcentral's name for it is "partial 16S ribosomal RNA". It matches the Rfam family "Bacterial small subunit ribosomal RNA", at positions 338 to 795 of the family's 1533-position model. The record is from RNAcentral.
CCUACGGGUGGCAGCAGUGAGGAAUAUUGGUCAAUGGACGAAAGUCUGAACCAGCCAAGUCGCGUGAAGGAUUACUGCCCUAUGGGUUGUAAACUUCUUUUAUAUGGGAAUAAAAUGUUCCACGUGUGGGAUUUUGUAUGUACCAUAUGAAUAAGGAUCGGCUAACUCCGUGCCAGCAGCCGCGGUAAUACGGAGGAUCCGAGCGUUAUCCGGAUUUAUUGGGUUUAAAGGGGGCGUAGGUGGAUUGUUAAGUCAGUGGUGAAAGUUUGAGGCUCAACCGUAAAAUUGCAGUUGAAACUGGCAGUCUUGAGAACAGUAGAGGGGGGCGGAAUGCGUGGUGUAGCGGCGAAAUGCUUAGAGAUCACGAAGAACGCCGAUUGCGAAGGCAGCUCACUGGACUGCAACUGACACUGAGGCUCGAAAGUGUGGGUAUCAAACAGGAUUAGAUACCCUAGUAGUC